UGCAAGUCGAACGAGAAAGCCACUUCGGUGGCGAGUACAGUGGCGCACGGGUGAGUAACGCGUAGAUGAUCUACCCUUCAGUCUGGGACAACUCUUGGAAACGGGAGCUAAUACCGGAUAAAACCUUCGGGUUGAAAGAUUUAUCGCUGGGGGAUGAGUUUGCGUACCAUUAGCUUGUUGGUGGGGUAAUGGCCUACCAAGGCGACGAUGGUUAGCGGGUCUGAGAGGACGAUCCGCCACACUGGAACUGAGACACGGUCCAGACUCCUACGGGAGGCAGCAGUAGGGAAUAUUGCGCAAUGGGGGCAACCCUGACGCAGCAAUGCCGCGUGAGUGAAGAAGGCCUUCGGGUCGUAAAGCUCUUUUAUGGGGGAAGAUGAUGACGGUACCCCAUGAAUAAGCACCGGCUAACUACGUGCCAGCAGCCGCGGUAAAUACGUAGGGUGCGAGCGUUUGUUCGGAAUUACUGGGCGUAAAGGGCGUGCAGGCGGAUUGGCAAGCC
Molecule: ribosomal RNA, 502 nt
Filed under: uncultured marine bacterium
Lineage: Bacteria
Description: bacterial SSU rRNA
Rfam family: Bacterial small subunit ribosomal RNA
Source: RNAcentral